Molecule: transfer RNA, 64 nt
Filed under: Vermileo comstocki
Lineage: Eukaryota; Metazoa; Arthropoda; Insecta; Diptera; Vermileonidae
Description: tRNA-Cys
Source: RNAcentral
GGCUUUAUAGUCAAUAAUAAUGAUAUUAGACUGCAAUUCUAAAGGAGUAGUUUUACUAAGGCUU